RNAcentral lists this ribosomal RNA (808 nucleotides) under Fusarium oxysporum. RNAcentral describes it as "eukaryotic LSU rRNA". It matches the Rfam family "Eukaryotic large subunit ribosomal RNA", at positions 80 to 919 of the family's 3401-position model. The record is from RNAcentral. Lineage: Eukaryota; Fungi; Ascomycota; Sordariomycetes; Hypocreales; Nectriaceae.
CUAGUACGGCGAGUGAAGCGGCAACAGCUCAAAUUUGAAAUCUGGCUCUCGGGCCCGAGUUGUAAUUUGUAGAGGAUACUUUUGAUGCGGUGCCUUCCGAGUUCCCUGGAACGGGACGCCAUAGAGGGUGAGAGCCCCGUCUGGUUGGAUGCCAAAUCUCUGUAAAGUUCCUUCAACGAGUCGAGUAGUUUGGGAAUGCUGCUCUAAAUGGGAGGUAUAUGUCUUCUAAAGCUAAAUACCGGCCAGAGACCGAUAGCGCACAAGUAGAGUGAUCGAAAGAUGAAAAGCACUUUGAAAAGAGAGUUAAAAAGUACGUGAAAUUGUUGAAAGGGAAGCGUUUAUGACCAGACUUGGGCUUGGUUAAUCAUCUGGGGUUCUCCCCAGUGCACUUUUCCAGUCCAGGCCAGCAUCAGUUUUCCCCGGGGGAUAAAGGCGGCGGGAAUGUGGCUCUCUUCGGGGAGUGUUAUAGCCCACCGUGUAAUACCCUGGGGGGGACUGAGGUUCGCGCAUCUGCAAGGAUGCUGGCGUAAUGGUCAUCAACGACCCGUCUUGAAACACGGACCAAGGAGUCGUCUUCGUAUGCGAGUGUUCGGGUGUCAAACCCCUACGCGUAAUGAAAGUGAACGCAGGUGAGAGCUUCGGCGCAUCAUCGACCGAUCCUGAUGUUCUCGGAUGGAUUUGAGUAAGAGCAUACGGGGCCGGACCCGAAAGAAGGUGAACUAUGCCUGUAUAGGGUGAAGCCAGAGGAAACUCUGGUGGAGGCUCGCAGCGGUUCUGACGUGCAAAUCGAUCGUCAAAUAUGGGCAUG